Molecule: ribosomal RNA, 245 nt
Filed under: uncultured bacterium
Lineage: Bacteria
Description: partial small subunit ribosomal RNA
Rfam family: Bacterial small subunit ribosomal RNA
Source: RNAcentral
AGAAUCAACGCUGGCGGCGUGCCUAACACAUGCAAGUCGCACGAGAAAGGGGAGCAAUCCCUGAGUAAAGUGGCGCACGGGUGAGUAACACGUGAAUAAUCUACCUCCGAGUGGGGAAUAACUGAGAGAAAUCUUAGCUAAUACCGCAUAACACUUACGAGUCAAAGCAGCAAUGCGCUUGGAGAGGAGUUCGCGGCCGAUUAGUUAGUUGGCGGGGUAAUGGCCCACCAAGACUAUGAUCGGUA